GAGUACUACUCCACUUUAAUGCAGGUAAGGUGAUUUGUAAGUUAAUCUUGUUUUCAGAAGAUGGUUGCUGGAAAUUUUUAUUCCUUGUCUAAAGAUUGUUUUUGGUUAUUUUUUCCAUUUUUAAUUAACUAAACAAUGUUUUCAUUCAACUUAUGUCAAAGAAUUGUUACAUGGGGCAUUGCAUAGGGGAGAAAAUAAAUUCAUAAUGUCCACACAAGCAAUGUACCUAAUGUGCAUCGACUCUUUCUCUUUGUGACAUGCACACACACACACCCUUAUAUACACUUGAAUGUUUCCAAGUGAAAAGUGGUAAUGCGUUUCUGACACUUUGCUUAUAUUUUAGCUAUGUGGGGUUAGAG
This 359-nucleotide unclassified non-coding RNA is filed under the name Hevea brasiliensis (rubber tree). The record is from RNAcentral. Lineage: Eukaryota; Viridiplantae; Streptophyta; Magnoliopsida; Malpighiales; Euphorbiaceae.